GACGAACGCUGGCGGCGUGCUUAACACAUGCAAGUCGAACGGAAAGGCCCUGCUUUUGUGGGGUGCUCGAGUGGCGAACGGGUGAGUAACACGUGAGUAACCUGCCCUUGACUUUGGGAUAACUUCAGGAAACUGGGGCUAAUACCGGAUAGGAGCUCCUGCUGCAUGGUGGGGGUUGGAAAGUUUCGGCGGUUGGGGAUGGACUCGCGGCUUAUCAGCUUGUUGGUGGGGUAGUGGCUUACCACGGCUUUGACGGGUAGCCGGCCUGAGAGGGUGACCGGCCACAUUGGGAAUGAGAUACGGCCCAGACUCCUACGGGAGGCAGCAGUGGGGAAUAUUGCACAAUGGGCGGAAGCCUGAUGCAGCAACGCCGCGUGCGGGAUGACGGCCUUCGGGUUGUAAACCGCUUUCGCCUGUGACGAAGCGUGAGUGACGGUAAUGGGUAAAGAAGCACCGGCUAACUACGUG
Molecule: ribosomal RNA, 468 nt
Filed under: uncultured bacterium
Lineage: Bacteria
Description: partial 16S ribosomal RNA
Rfam family: Bacterial small subunit ribosomal RNA
Source: RNAcentral